This 66-nucleotide transfer RNA is filed under the name Rhabdoblatta sp. RHA. RNAcentral describes it as "tRNA-Trp". The record is from RNAcentral. Lineage: Eukaryota; Metazoa; Arthropoda; Insecta; Blattodea; Blaberidae.
AAGGCUUUAAGUUAAGUAAACUAAUAUCCUUCAAAGCUAUAAAUAAAGAAUUAUCUUUAAGCCUUA